UGGCCUUUAUGACCAGGGCUACACACGUACUACAAUGGCCGGUACAGAGGGCAGCGACACAGCGAUGUGAAGCGAAUCCCGAAAAGCCGGUCUCAGUCCGGAUUGGAGUCUGCAACUCGACUCCAUGAAGUUGGAAUCGCUAGUAAUCGCGGAUCAGCACGCCGCGGUGAAUACGUUCCCGGGCCUU
RNAcentral lists this ribosomal RNA (187 nucleotides) under uncultured Desulfocapsa sp. RNAcentral's name for it is "partial 16S ribosomal RNA". It matches the Rfam family "Bacterial small subunit ribosomal RNA", at positions 1196 to 1382 of the family's 1533-position model. Lineage: Bacteria; Pseudomonadati; Thermodesulfobacteriota; Desulfobulbia; Desulfobulbales; Desulfocapsaceae. The record is from RNAcentral.